GACGAACGCUGGCGGCGUGCUUAACACAUGCAAGUCGAACGGAAAGGCCCUGCUUUUGUGGGGUGCUCGAGUGGCGAACGGGUGAGUAACACGUGAGUAACCUGCCCUUGACUUUGGGAUAACUUCAGGAAACUGGGGCUAAUACCGGAUAGGAGCUCCUGCUGCAUGGUGGGGGUUGGAAAGUUUCGGCGGUUGGGGAUGGACUCGCGGCUUAUCAGCUUGUUGGUGGGGUAGUGGCUUACCGAGGCUUUGACGGGUAGCCGGCCUGAGAGGGUGACCGGCGACAUUGGGCCUGAGAUACGGCCCAGACUCCUACGGGAGGCAGCAGUGGGGAAUAUUGCACAAUGGGCGGAAGCCUGAUGCAGCAACGCCGCGUGCGGGAUGACGGCCUUCGGGUUGUAAACCGCUUUCGCCUGUGACGAAGCGUGAGUGACGGUAAUGGGUAAAGAAGCACCGGCUAACUACGUG
This 468-nucleotide ribosomal RNA is filed under the name uncultured bacterium. RNAcentral's name for it is "partial 16S ribosomal RNA". It matches the Rfam family "Bacterial small subunit ribosomal RNA", at positions 28 to 507 of the family's 1533-position model. The record is from RNAcentral.